GACGAACCGUCCUAACGUUGUUCGGAAUCACUGGGCUUAAAGGGCGCGUAGGCGGCCUUGAAAGUCGGGGGUGAAGUCCCACGGCCUAACCGUGGAAGUGCCUCCGAUACUGCAAGGCUCGAGGGAGGUAGGGGCAGCUGGAACUUCCGGUGGAGCGGUGAAAUGCGUUGAUAUCGGAAGGAACGCCGGUGGCGAAAGCGAGCUGCUGGACCUCUGCUGACGCUGAGGCGCGAAAGCCAGGGGAGCAAACGGG
RNAcentral lists this ribosomal RNA (253 nucleotides) under uncultured bacterium. Its description in RNAcentral is "partial 16S ribosomal RNA". It matches the Rfam family "Bacterial small subunit ribosomal RNA", at positions 524 to 776 of the family's 1533-position model. The record is from RNAcentral.